CGCAUGGCACCCCGGCUAAAGCCCCGACGGGAGGGGAUGGCUCCGCGGCCCAUCAGGUAGACGGCGGGGUGACGGCCCACCGUGCCGACAACGGGUAGCCGGGUUGAGAGACCGACCGGCCAGAUUGGGACUGAGACACGGCCCAGACUCCUACGGGAGGCAGCAGUGGGGAAUCUUGCGCAAUGGGGGGAACCCUGACGCAGCGACGCCGCGUGCGGGACGGAGGCCUUCGGGUCGUAAACCGCUUUCAGCAGGGAAGAGUCAAGACUGUACCUGCAGAAGAAGCCCCGGCUAACUACGUGCCAGCAGCCGCGGUAAUACGUAGGGGGCGAGCGUUAUCCGGAUUCAUUGGGCGUAAAGCGCGCGUAGGCGGCCCGGCAGGCCGGGGGUCGAAGCGGGGGGCUCAACCCCCCGAAGCCCCCGGAACCUCCGCGGCUUGGGUCCGGUAGGGGAGGGUGGAACACCCGGCGUAGCGGUGGAAUGCGCAGAUAUCGGGUGGAACACCGGUGGCGAAGGCGGCCCUCUGGGCCGAGACCGACGCUGAGGCGCGAAAGCUGGGGGAGCGAACAGGAUUAGAUACCCUGGUAGUCCCAGCCGUAAACGAUGGACGCUAGGUGUGGGGGGACGAUCCCCCCGUGCCGCAG
This 644-nucleotide ribosomal RNA is filed under the name uncultured bacterium. RNAcentral describes it as "partial 16S ribosomal RNA". It matches the Rfam family "Bacterial small subunit ribosomal RNA", at positions 187 to 851 of the family's 1533-position model. The record is from RNAcentral.